Molecule: transfer RNA, 76 nt
Filed under: Candidatus Yanofskybacteria bacterium RIFCSPHIGHO2_01_FULL_39_44
Lineage: Bacteria; Candidatus Yanofskyibacteriota
Also listed under: 2 other names
Description: tRNA-Lys
Rfam family: tRNA
About the family: Transfer RNA (tRNA) molecules are approximately 80 nucleotides in length. Their secondary structure includes four short double-helical elements and three loops (D, anti-codon, and T loops).
Source: RNAcentral
CCGCCCAUAGCUCAGCUGGUAGAGCAGUUGCCUCUUAAGCAAACGGUCCCAGGUUCGAGUCCUGGUGGGCGGACUA